This is a long non-coding RNA of Pristis pectinata (smalltooth sawfish), 433 nucleotides long. RefSeq lists it as uncharacterized. The transcript is spliced from 4 exons. The record is from RefSeq and is a predicted model, not a curated record. NCBI's taxonomy places the organism in Eukaryota, Metazoa, Chordata, Chondrichthyes, Rhinopristiformes, Pristidae.
CCUAGACUUUUACGUUAUGGAAAGGAAUAUUCCAUCUGCAGAAUGCAAACCACAGGACUGCUUGGUUUCAAUAAGUGUCUGCAUCGACUGAAGCCAGGUGCACAGAACAAAAGCUCCAGAAGUAUAACUGACAUCCAGGCAUAUUGACUAUGACUCAUUCAUGGGGAAUCUUCAGUCAUUUUAAAAGGCAGAUGGACUCUGUAUAUUAUCCCAUUUGAAGGGCAGUGCUCUAAUAAUACUACAAUUCCCCCAGUUUUGUACUGCAACAUAUGAAUAUAUUAUGAGUUGAAGACCCUGGAGCUGGACUCAAACCCAGAAACUAUUGACAAGAGAGUUCCAGAAUCCAUUGCAUUUGCUUUUGAAAAGUCACCAUCCUGCCGUCACACAGGAAGGUUUUGAGAGGUGGGGAUGAAACGUUCAGGAAGGGUCUCGU